Molecule: ribosomal RNA, 530 nt
Filed under: uncultured bacterium
Lineage: Bacteria
Description: bacterial SSU rRNA
Rfam family: Bacterial small subunit ribosomal RNA
Source: RNAcentral
GAUGAGCAUGCGUCCCAUUAGCUAGUUGGUAAGGUAACGGCUUACCAAGGCUACGAUGGGUAGGGGUCCUGAGAGGGAGAUCCCCCACACUGGUACUGAGACACGGACCAGACUCCUACGGGAGGCAGCAGUGAGGAAUAUUGGACAAUGGGCGCAAGCCUGAUCCAGCCAUGCCGCGUGCAGGAUGACGGUCCUAUGGAUUGUAAACUGCUUUUAUACGAGAAGAAACACUCCUUCGUGAAGGAGCUUGACGGUAUCGUAAGAAUAAGGAUCGGCUAACUCCGUGCCAGCAGCCGCGGUAAUACGGAGGAUCCAAGCGUUAUCCGGAAUCAUUGGGUUUAAAGGGUCCGUAGGCGGUUUAAUAAGCCAGUGGUGAAAGCCCAUCGCUCAACGGUGGAACGGCCAUUGAUACUGUUAGACUUGAAUUAUUAGGAAGUAACUAGAAUAUGUAGUGUAGCGGUGAAAUGCUUAGAGAUUACAUGGAAUACCAAUUGCGAAGGCAGGUUACUACUAAUUGAUUGACGCUGAUG